GGUUGUGGCUCAGUGGCAGAACACUUGCCUGGCAUGUAUGAGGCACUGGGUUCGAUUCUCAGCACCA
This 67-nucleotide transfer RNA is filed under the name Marmota marmota marmota (Alpine marmot). It matches the Rfam family "tRNA". From Rfam's summary of the family: Transfer RNA (tRNA) molecules are approximately 80 nucleotides in length. Their secondary structure includes four short double-helical elements and three loops (D, anti-codon, and T loops). The record is from Rfam by way of RNAcentral. RNAcentral also lists the same sequence under 1 other name. Lineage: Eukaryota; Metazoa; Chordata; Mammalia; Rodentia; Sciuridae.